Tachysurus vachellii is the source of this 2212-nucleotide long non-coding RNA. RefSeq lists it as uncharacterized. The record is from RefSeq and is a predicted model, not a curated record. Lineage: Eukaryota; Metazoa; Chordata; Actinopteri; Siluriformes; Bagridae. The transcript is spliced from 3 exons.
GUGAAUUCAGUCCCACGGCCGAUGGGGAGGUAGCUGAAAGGUGUGUGCUUUACUGAACACUUCCAUCAGUUCCUGGUACUCUGGGGGUAUGGUGAUGUUGUGACAAGUCUCUGGGCUCUUGACCUUCCUGGGUAGAAAUGGGAACUUCAGGUGGGGUGUGAGGCAUUGCCUGUGGCAGUGUUGAGACCAGCUGGUGAGUUCCUUGUCAGUCCAGGAUAUCUGUGUGUUGUGAUCCCAGAGCCAAGGGAAUCCCAAGAUGACUCAGUUGGCUGGGGAUGAGGUAACGAAUAGGACCGAUUGCUCUAUGCGAAAAAGUCCAAAUUGCAGGGUAAUGGUGUGGUCUGGUGCAUGAUGAAGCCAUCCUCAAUCGGUUGAUUGUCCACUGUCAUAUUCUUCAGGGGAAUGGUGCAAGGAGUUACAGGGAGUUGUAGUUCUUCCUCUAGCUGGCGCUGGAUGAUAUUAAUGGGGGAACUGGGCAGAAACAUUGUAAAACCUAUUUCCAUAGUGGAUCUGUGCAGGUAAUUGUAAUUAGUAGCUCCUGGACUUGUGUUCUCCGGACCAGACUGCAAAAUGAUGACCUGCUUGGCCACAGUAGAAGCAGAGUUGGUGAUGUAGGUGCCGCUGGUGUUCCUCCUAAGAGAUAUGAGUAUAUCCAAUCUGCCUGGGUUCAGGCACUUCGGAGGUGAAAGGGCUUGGCAAUGGCUAGGCUCUUGGGGAUUGGUUGUGGGGAAUGUUGUCUAGAUGAAUAGCCAGCAAAAUAUACUGAGACAGGAGGGAAAUGUUCUCGACUCGACAUGCGAGUUUGGCCUGAAGAGUGGGCAUAAGUCCUUCCCUGAACAUAACCUUCAAAGCUGAAUCAUUCCACCCAUUCUGAGCAGCUAGCGUGCGGAAUUUUACCACAUUGUCUGCAGCUGAAUCAGUGCUCUGGCACAGCUGGAUGUCUCCCAGCUGGGUACUCAAGGACAGAAUGUCUCCCAGCUGGGUACUCACAGGAUUUCACAGAUUUAAUGGACAAAGUGAGUAUAGGAUGAACGCACCUGCAUGGCCUCGUCCCAGACUGCUGUGGCCGUAUCCAGAGCUUUCCCUGUAAGAAGACUCAUCAGGAAUGCACACUUGGUGGUGUCAUCCCGGUAGGCAUCUGGCUGGUGGUUGAAAAACACCUCACACUGGUGAAGAAAACCUUUACACUGGUCAGCAGAGCCAUCAAAAUUUACCCGAAAGUGGAAACCGGAAGUUAAUAUUCCGGUGAUGGCUCACUCUGGUUAGUUGGAUGGGGUCGUUGACGGUGUUCUUACUUCGUGUAUAACCAAAUUGCUUGAAUUAAAUAUAUGGAAUUAAAAUUAUUGUACACUGAUCCAUUAAUAAAUUCUGUGUUUCAGGUACUGGGCUGAGGGGGAACCGAAUGAUUCAGGUGGUGAGGACUGUGCUGAGAUUUCAGGCAGACAAGAAAAUAAGAUUUUUAAGGAUUAUUAAGGACAGAAAUAUUUACCCAAAGAGAAGACUACACAAGGGCAUUGUUCAGGAUGGGCAUUGUUCACAGAAUUGGGAUAAGUGAUUUGAGUACGAGAGGUCCUGACAAGUCCUGACAUUUCAUGGUCCGGAUCUUCAGGAUGGUAACCUGAGAAAAACUGGGGUGGCUGGAUUGUGCAGUUUGGUACCGCUGGGUUCAGCCAUGGAACCAGAAGAAGCUGCAGUCCCAAAUGUCCUUCUGGAAAUUUAUCCUGAUCCUGAGAUCAUUUAGCUUGUUUUCCAGAGACCUUAGCUAACAGGAUGCUAGGCAGGGGAUCAGAGUGUGUGCUUGCUCUCAGCUCGUUCUUGACAUAGGCUUGGGGCCAUGUUGAGUCCAGGUUUAGAAAUGGCAUUAGGUGAGAUUAAAUGAGAUUUUAAAUCGAUUGAAAUAAGUAUUAUUUUUGAAUUAUCAAAAACAAACAAGCAAAAACAAAUUUUAUUUUGACUGCAUUAAAAUAGUAACAGUGUGAUUAACACAACUCUAAGGUGACCAGAAAAUACUGAUACACAAACCCAGUGACAGUGCAGGAAAAAUAGAAUGACGUGGCCUUGAAAAUCAUUUCACCUUUACUUCCUCUAUAAGUCACUCACACACGCACAUGCGUGCACACACACACACAUGCACGCGCACACACACACAGGCACAGACACAGGCAAACACACACACUCACACACACACAGCUUGGUGUAAACCUAAGUGAGU